RNAcentral lists this long non-coding RNA (659 nucleotides) under Olea europaea (common olive). RNAcentral describes it as "long non-coding RNA (OEUR_LNC006797)". The record is from RNAcentral. Lineage: Eukaryota; Viridiplantae; Streptophyta; Magnoliopsida; Lamiales; Oleaceae.
GGGAUGAACAAGAAAUUAAUGUGGGUGACCAACGUUCACUAAACUAAAAGAAAAUUUCAAAUUUUGUCAGUUUUCUAUUUGGACUCAAAUUCCACAGGGUAGAUGCUUUAAGACUAUUUUGUAUUGUUAUUGUACAAUUAUAUUUCAUUAUUCAAGUAUAAGGGACAUGUUGACACUCAAAAAUGGCACCAACAGAUGUCGGGCCCACUUGCGUCCACGCGGGCAAAUUCCAUUGCAUUUAGAUCUUUGAUUUGAUCAGACGGUAGAAUGGACACAGGAGAUGCUCCUUCGACGCGAGACUAAGCAGUUCAAGCACCACCAAAGUGACCCGGAGGCUUUCAAACGGGCAAUGAUACUCUCGCCCAAGCACAAUCACAACUUUUGCAAGUAAAUGAUAAAAAAGAGUAGAAAAGAGACACAAUCAAAUGGCAAGAAAUAUAUAGAAUUGUAUUUAUUUUUCCCUCCAAAAUGUGCUAAAAAUUAGUAUAUCCGUUUCUUGUUCUUUUUCUUGGGUUUUGUCCCCUUUUCUCUAUAUGUGUUGCUUCUAUUGUCUCACAUAUCUCCUUCCUCCUUUUUUUUUUUUUUUUUUUUUUCUAUAAGGGAAGGGUAUUUAUAGAGUUUGGGGAAGACGUGGUUGUCAUUGGAUUCGAACUACAUGC